This 338-nucleotide long non-coding RNA is filed under the name Homo sapiens (human). Its description in RNAcentral is "HSALNT0277352". Lineage: Eukaryota; Metazoa; Chordata; Mammalia; Primates; Hominidae. The record is from RNAcentral.
UCGAAUAAAACUCGGAGCCUGCUGAGCGCGGGAGCUGGCACUUAUUUAUUGAGAAUUUGCUAUGUCCCAGCCUUGCCCUAGAAGCUUACAAACAUUAUUUCACUUAAUCCUCACUGUAUUCCUGUCGCAUUUUGCAGAAGAGAACCAGGCUGAGAGAAGUUAAGUGACGUGCCCAAGGAUACACAGGAACUAUGUACUGAAGAUUUGGGGGCAAAAGAGGACCACAUCUGCAACUAACUGGAGAUGGUUCAGAAGAUGAUGCACACACACUCAAGCAUAUCGAGAGAGAAAGGGGCAGAGGACACAGAAGGCCCUGAGUUUAAUGUGCAUGUUUUGGG